AACUAAAAGCUUACACUUAAUUGUCUUUCCCUCUCCUCCCUCCCGACGGAGCCAAACCUCUCUUCCUCCCAAAUUCAUCAUUCCUCUCUCUCUCCAAACCAAAACCCUAAUACUACGUUUCUCUAUAAAUUAAUCAAAUCUCAAUCAUUAACCCUAAUCGGAGGAGAAGAUGGUGAAGGUGCGCAUGAACACCGCCGAUGUGGCCGCCGAGGUCAAAUGCCUCCGACGCCUAAUCGGAAUGCGAUGCUCCAACGUCUACGAUCUCUCUCCAAAGACGUAUGUGUUCAAGCUGAUGAACAGCAGUGGCGUUUCGGAAUCCGGCGAGAGCGAGAAGGUUCUGCUGCUCAUGGAAAGUGGCGUUAGAUUGCACUCUACUAUCUACAUGCGUGACAAGAGCAACACCCCUUCGGGUUUCACUCUCAAAUUGAGGAAGCACAUUCGGACCAGAAGGCUCGAGGAUGUGCGCCAACUUGGGUACGAUCGGAUUAUUCUCUUCCAAUUUGGACUUGGGGAGAAUGCAAACUAUGUUAUAUUGGAGCUGUAUGCUCAGGGGAACAUCCUCCUCACAGAUUCUAGUUUCACAGUCAUGACUCUACUGCGAUCUCACAGGGAUGAUGAUAAAGGGCUUGCAAUCAUGUCACGCCAUCGUUAUCCUGUGGAAAGUUGUCGAGUUUUUGAGCAAACUACUAUUGAAAAGUUGCAGACAGCCCUAGUGUCUUCGAAGGAAGAUGAUAACGAGGAGGCUGUUAAGGCCAAUGGAAAUGGAAGUAAUGCUUCAUAUGUAGGUAAAGAGAAGCAGGGAAACCAGAAAGGUGGGAAGUCAGCCACAUUGAAAAUUGUCCUUGGGGAGGCACUUGGUUAUGGACCUGCUCUUUCUGAACAUAUAAUAUUAGAUGCUGGCCUAAUCCCCAGUACAAAAGUCCCCAAAGAUAGAACGUGGGAUGAUGCAACUGUUCAGGCCUUGGUCCAAGCUGUUGCAAAGUUUGAAGAUUGGAUGCAGGAUAUUAUUUCAGGUGAAACAGUCCCUGAAGGAUACAUUUUGAUGCAGAACAAAAAUUUGGGGAAGGAAUCUUCCAUAUCUCAAUCAGGAAGUGUUAGCCAGAUGUAUGAUGAGUUCUGCCCCAUCCUGCUCAACCAGUUUAAGUCAAGGGAUUAUACAAAGUUUGAGACAUUUGAUGCAGCCUUGGAUGAGUUCUAUAGCAAAAUCGAGAGUCAAAGGUCUGAACAACAGCAGAAAGCCAAAGAAAACUCAGCUGCUCAGAAACUUAAUAAGAUUCGCCAGGAUCAGGAAAAUCGAGUACAUGCUUUGAGGAAAGAAGCUGAUCACUGUGUUAAGAUGGCAGAAUUGAUAGAAUACAACUUGGAAGAUGUGGAUGCUGCUAUAUUAGCUGUCCGCGUAGCUCUUGCAAAGGGUAUGAACUGGGAUGACCUUGCUCGGAUGGUGAAGGAAGAAAAGAAAGCUGGAAACCCAGUAGCUGGUCUCAUUGACAAACUCCAUCUUGAUAGGAACUGCAUGACUUUACUGUUAAGCAACAAUCUUGAUGAAAUGGAUGAUGAUGAGAAGACACUCCCUGUAGAUAAGGUUGAAGUUGAUUUAGCUCUCUCAGCACAUGCCAAUGCUCGGAGGUGGUAUGAACAGAAGAAAAAGCAGGAGAGCAAACAGGAAAAGACUGUAACUGCCCAUGAAAAGGCUUUUAAAGCUGCAGAGAGAAAGACUCGCCUACAGCUUAGUCAGGAAAAAACUGUUGCCUCAAUUUCACAUAUGCGCAAAGUUCACUGGUUUGAGAAAUUUAAUUGGUUCAUUAGCAGUGAGAAUUAUUUGGUUAUCAGUGGACGUGAUGCACAGCAAAAUGAGCUGAUAGUGAAGCGUUAUAUGUCAAAAGGAGAUCUGUAUGUACAUGCCGAUCUACAUGGAGCUUCUAGUACAGUUAUCAAGAAUCACAAGCCUGUGCAACCAGUUCCACCGCUGACCCUGAAUCAAGCAGGGUGUUUCACAGUCUGCCAUAGCCAGGCAUGGGAUUCAAAAAUUGUUACUAGUGCCUGGUGGGUCUAUCCUCAUCAGGUUAGUAAAACUGCUCCGACAGGUGAAUAUCUGACAGUAGGGAGUUUCAUGAUCCGGGGAAAGAAAAAUUUUCUUCCACCACACCCUCUUAUCAUGGGUUUUGGCCUACUAUUUCGCUUGGAUGAGAGUUCCUUGGGUUCACAUUUAAAUGAAAGAAGAGUAAGAGGAGAGGAGGAAGCAGCAGAAGAUGACUAUGACGAAACUGGCCCUCUUGAAGACAAAUCUGAUUCAGAGUCUGAGAAGGAUGUUGCUGAUGUAAAAUCUGCUACAGAAUCAGAAAGGAACGGUAAUUUAUUGGCAGAUUCACACAAACCCCUAUCAGAAGACUUUCCUGCAGACUCAUCUCAAACUAGUUUGGCUACUAUAAAUGCCGAAACUGCAAUUUCACAGGAUUUUCCUGCAAAAGAGACAAGUAAGUCAAAGAUGGUUGAUAGGGAGAUAUUAUCAGACAUUGGUGAAAAUGGCAUAGCGUCUGUCACCCAACUUGAGGAACUUAUUGAUCAAGCUCUGGAACUUGGAUCUGUUGCUAAAUCCAGUAAAAGUUAUGGAAAUGAGAACUCUCAAAUUGAUUUAGGCAGUGAGCAACAUUUUGAUCAAAGCAAAGCUGCAGUAAGGGAAAAACCUUAUAUAUCAAAAGCUGAGAGACGAAAACUUAAAAAAGAACAGAAACAUGGAGAAGCAGAUUCAAAUGUUCAACAUGGAAAGAAUGAAUCAAAACUAAAAGAUAUUUCUGCUAACAUACCUGCAAAAGAAGAUCAAAAUUUGAAAAAAGCUGGUGGUCAAAAAACCAGUCGUGGACAGAAGGGCAAACUUAAGAAGAUAAAGGAGAAGUAUGCUGACCAGGAUGAGGAAGAAAGGAACAUCCGAAUGGCAUUGUUGGCUGUGAGUUCAGUAGCUUACAUUCUUCUGGAAAAUCAAUCAAGAAGGAAGAAGUGUCAUCUGAAAAUGAAGCUUUGGAGAAGGGGGAAAAACCUAGCAGUGGUCCUUCUGAUGCUCCAAAAAUAUGUUACAAGUGUAAGAAAGCAGGUCACUUAUCUCGGGAUUGUAAGGAGCAACAAGAUGAUCUGUUGCAUAGGCAUGCAACUGGUGAAGCUGAAGAAAAUUCCAAAAUGACUGCUAUUGACACUUCCCAAGCAGACAGGGUGGCAAUGGAAGAAGAUGAUAUUCAUGAAAUAGGAGAAGAGGAGAAAGAAAAACUAAAUGACGUUGAUUACUUGACAGGGAAUCCACUUCCUAAUGACAUUCUCUUAUAUGCUGUUCCUGUCUGUGGUCCUUACAAUGCAGUUCAGUCUUACAAAUAUCGGGUGAAGAUAAUUCCUGGACCAGCAAAGAAAGGGAAAGCUGCAAAAACUGCGAUGAACUUAUUCAGCCACAUGUCAGAAGCAACAAGCCGGGAGAAGGAGUUGAUGAAAGCCUGUACAGAUCCUGAACUAGUUGCUGCAAUUAUUGGUAAUGUGAAAAUAUCAGCAGCUGGCCUUACUCAAUUGAAGCAAAAGCAAAAGAAAGGCAAAAAGAGCAGCAAACAACAGAGUUAACCAACCCAUGGAUCCAUCCUCUACAGUUUGGAAACUAACUUCACCUCAUACAAGCUUUAAUCCUAUGUCCCGGUUCGAUGCAACUCAAAUUCUAUUGUUUGUUCUCUAUUAAUAAGCCCUUGGAUUAAAACUGCAUGUCCCUGCCAUAGGAUUUACUCAGGUAUAGAAAAGUUAUUUUCUUUUUCUUAUUUUAGCUAGAGUUGAGAAAUUUGUAUGUUGUAUAUCCUUCUAUGUUCCAACAGUAGAUAGAAGUUUUCAUCAGUAAAUCUGCUGGCUAAGUGCGUAUUAACUUAUUGCACGGAAAUUUUAUACUAUCCUUUUUGGUUUUCUGCUCUUUAGUGUGAAAGACUAGGUCACAAGAUUUUUUGUUUUAGUCAAAGUAUAUGAAACCAACGGGUCAAUUAUUA
Non-coding RNA from Cajanus cajan (pigeon pea), 4004 nucleotides. The record is from RefSeq and is a predicted model, not a curated record. NCBI's taxonomy places the organism in Eukaryota, Viridiplantae, Streptophyta, Magnoliopsida, Fabales, Fabaceae.